Molecule: ribosomal RNA, 463 nt
Filed under: uncultured bacterium
Lineage: Bacteria
Description: partial 16S ribosomal RNA
Rfam family: Bacterial small subunit ribosomal RNA
Source: RNAcentral
GACGAACGCUGGCGGCGUGCUUAACACAUGCAAGUCGAACGGAAAGGCCUUUUCGGAGGUACUCGAGUGGCGAACGGGUGAGUAACACGUGGGUGAUCUGCCCUGUACUCUGGGAUAAGCCUGGGAAACUGGGUCUAAUACCGGAUAGGACCGCACUUUAGUGUGUGUGGUGGAAAGUUUUUUCGGUGUAGGAUGAGCCCGCGGCCUAUCAGCUUGUUGGUGGGGUAAUGGCCUACCAAGGCGGCGACGGGUAGCCGGACUGAGAGGUUGGUCGGCCACAUUGGGACUGAGAUACGGCCCAGACUCCUACGGGAGGCAGCAGUGGGGAAUAUUGCACAAUGGGCGCAAGCCUGAUGCAGCGACGCCGCGUGGGGGAGGACGGCCUUCGGGUUGUAAACUCCUUUCGCCAGGGACGAAGCGUUUUGUGACGGUACCUGGAGAAGAAGCACCGGCUAACUACGUG